AGGAGGGCAGAGCCUGGGUGGGGCCUGUCCAGGCCGCAGUCCUCCUUCCUCCCAGUCCGCGCCCCCAGGACGUAGGGGGCCCCAACUGAGUGCAAAGGCCCGGACAGGGGCCUGAGAAAAGGCCAACGGUGCAGCUCCUGCCCUGGGAGCUUCCUGUCUUUCUGGAGGGCCCGGCCUCGAAGGAAGCGCGCGGAGGAGGCACGUACUGAGCCCAGACUGCAGGCCGGGCCCUGCGCCAGCCUCGCAGAUGAGGACCUGAAAACAGAGAGGUUAAGUCACUUGUCCAAAGCCACACAGUGGUCUUUGUCCUCUGCAGUUCUCCAGGGAUGUCUCAAAAGAUCCCUCACAGCUCAUGCUCUUGGCCCCCGGGAGUCCUCCUCUUUGCUGUCCCGUGCUGUCCCUGAGGCUCCCUGUCACUUACUUGAGUGAACCGGAGAUGCGCAGCUGUGGCAGCCACUUCAGGAGGCACCUGAGCCCGUCAUCACCCAGCUGGUUGGCAGAGAGGCUGCAGGAGCUCUCUUGAACUCUAAUAAGUCCUAAGCUGAACUCCUAACAGCUCUGGAAAGACUGCACUGUACUAGCUGUGUGACCUUGGACAAGUCCUUCAACUCUCUGCACCUCAGCUCGCCCACGUAUAAAAUGGGGGUGAUAGUGCCCAGGUCCGUUGGAAGGAUGGAAGAAUGUCUAAGGAUAAAAGAAUAUCCACUUAGAACAGUGGAGCAAGUGCUCCACAGGUGUUAGCCAUUAUUAGUAUUUUUCUGCCCGUGCGUGGGCUAUACUGUAUGGGCACCCAAGACUGGCCACACCUCUCAAUGGUACCAAGACUGGCCACACCUCUCAAUGGUGGGUCCCCACCUAGCUGGCUCCCGAACCCUCCGCAGGCUGAGGCAUUUGGUGCUUUCUACCCCCUGCCAGGCAAGCUGGUGGAUCCUUCCUGUGAGUGCCCAUCAGCCAGUAGUAGAGCUCCAUUGUCUUGAAUGCCUUGACCAACGUGAGGCCAAGGAGCUCCUGGGGCCCUUGUUGAGGGAUCGAGGGCAUGCUCUGAGUUAGCUCCACCGGGGCAGGAGUGAGGGGUUGGGAGGGACAAAAUGGGUGCAGGGGAACUUUUAGGAUGUGAUCCAGAGUCCCGGGCACCCCGAUAGCUGGUCCCGAGAAGUGCUGAGUGCACACACACAUGGAGACACACACACACACACACACACCACCCUCCAGUGCCCUCCAGGUGCGUGCUCCCAAACUUCUGUGCCUGCUCUCCCCCUCCACCCACCACC
Long non-coding RNA from Phyllostomus hastatus (greater spear-nosed bat), 1271 nucleotides. RefSeq lists it as uncharacterized. Lineage: Eukaryota; Metazoa; Chordata; Mammalia; Chiroptera; Phyllostomidae. The transcript has 4 exons. The record is from RefSeq and is a predicted model, not a curated record.